UUAUCUUAACUUUCUGCUAGUAAGACUCAUACCUAUUUGUCCUCAUUCAUGAUGCAAUGAAAAAAUUGGCAGAUAUGUUGGGACUAAUUCUUCUGUGUGCCUACAAAGUCUUUCUGAAGCUUUCUUGGAUAACCAACUUCUGUCUUGUUUUUUUCCUACUGUCUUCUCUGUCAAUCUCCUUCAUUGCUUUUAGUCCAGUUCAUCAUUCCGGUGCUGCACCCACUCACUGGCUGAAGCUUUUCUGCUCUCAGAGUCUUCCUAGCUCUUCCUGGCCAGUGAGGAUUCUGUCCUUCUCCUCCUAAAUCCUCUGUCUUCAUUUUACUUUAUAAUCUUAACUGAAUAUUUUUAUUAUUUUUUAAUGCUGUAUUUAAAUUUUCACAUGGAAAUUCUGUAUUUUGCACACAGUGAAAAUUGUUUUAGCUUUAUUUAUGAUAUCUGCUGUAAACAAAAAUAAAUGUAGUUCUUUAUAA
Molecule: long non-coding RNA, 470 nt
Organism: Dryobates pubescens (Downy woodpecker)
Lineage: Eukaryota; Metazoa; Chordata; Aves; Piciformes; Picidae
Exons: 2
Source: RefSeq, a predicted model, not a curated record